ACUUUGGGAGUUGGAGGUAGAGGUUUGAGUCCUUUUUCUCUGAUAUGGAUCGAUGGUUUGUGUAUAAGUU
This 70-nucleotide transfer RNA is filed under the name Indicator maculatus (spotted honeyguide). RNAcentral describes it as "tRNA-Pro". The record is from RNAcentral. Lineage: Eukaryota; Metazoa; Chordata; Aves; Piciformes; Indicatoridae.